AGAAAAAUUAGAUAUACUUAUAGACGACGAAGAUGAAGAUGAGGAGAACGAUAGCAAGGAAAUGGCAGCCUUCCCUGGCUACGACAAGUGGGCUUGACAAAACCCAUCGACGCAAGAUCAUGAGCUUCUUGACAGAUAAUGGCUGCAUAGGUGUAACCUGAUGACCUUGUGAUUUCAACAGGGACUAAAUAUCACGAGUCAAGUGGGCUCUAAGCUAUAGACCUUCACAGAGUGCAGACUCUUCUUUAUUUACAUGAUGAGUGCUGCAGGGUAAAGCUGGGAAUUGAUGAGGUCCAAUCUAGGAGGUUUCUGUGACUGAUGGAGAAUCCAAGACACAUGGUCCAAGUCAGCGAAAUAGCUACAAGAUAAACAGCUCAGUGGCAUUGGCAAGAGAAAGUUGUAUUCUGCUUGUAAAAUGAAACGGCUGUGCCAAGUAACCAUUCUACAGAAGUACUUGUAGCAGGAAGUGAUCAAGGGAGAAUAGUGUUAGCCUUAAACAUUUUGCAGCAGAGCAGUAAGACAUACAUCACUCUUUCAUGUGUUAAGUGUUGGUAUUGAAUUCCUUACCAGACAUAUCUCAGGUGGCCAUAACAUGUUAUACACAAUGUCUGUGGCCAGACCAAAUCCUGUAGAUGACAGAUGGUUACUUUAUACCACUAAACAAUGCUUAGUCAUUCCCAUUCCCGUACUUGUUUCACAGCCUCAGUCUUAUUAUGCAUGCUACUGCAGGUUGUCUGGGUGAAAUUAAGGGAUACAGUGUUUAAAUUUUCCCAUAACAUUUUUGCUGUAAAUGAAAUCAAAUAUCAAGAGAUUGUGGGUGAUAGACUUAGACAGUAAAUUAUACUUUUAAUGAAUUUUUCAAAGUGGACACAGUUCAACUAUAGGUUUAAUAUUUAUUACUUAGAAAGAGUUUGUUUUUGUGUAUUAAUUUGUCCUAAUUCUUCAAAAAAUAUCUGUAUAAAGUCAUUUGACAUCACUUAAUUUUUUUAUUUGUGUUCAUAUAUGUUUGGGUUUCAAAGUAAUUUUAUUUCCACUAAAGAAAGUGCUGCGAGCUGUGAAUAUACAAGUUCUUCAACACCAAACUUUUGUUAAAGCAUCUAACAUAUUUUUUCUUCAGAAUGAAUAGAAAUAAGCAUCUACUGGUAAUAGGUCCGGUUUCACAUGUGCAUAAUGGUGACAAUUAUACAAAAUAAAUGUCAGAAUCUCUGUUAAACAAAAAUAUUCACUCUUCAUUCAUUAUCAUCCAUUCAUUCAUUUGACCAAAAUCAUUCAAGCAUUUAGUUGAGAAAUAUUCCAUGUAAACUUUCAGUACAAAGCAAUCCAUAUUUCUCCACAAAGACUAAGAAUUCUCUUACUGCUGUGUUAUCAGCUAAUUUGGAGAAGGCAAAGUGAAAUUCUUAAGUUUAAAAUGAUUUCCUAAAUUUGAUGUAUUAUUUCAUUAGAAAGCAGACCUGUCAUAGAAAUGCCAGAAGAAAUUUCUUUUACUCUAUCUGUUCACAGGGUAACUUUUGUUCUUGCAUUGUAUUUAGAGGGAAAUGUUACGCCACAGUCCAAUUUUUACCCAUAAUUUCUGUAGUGAGGGCAAUUUUAUUGUGAUGGCAGAUGUUGGUGUACCGCUAACAAAACACAAUGUCUCAAAUGUGACGGUCAAAAUGAUCACUGUGUAGAUAUGUUUUAACCGGUGAAGGCCAAACAUUUCAUUCAAUGGCUGAGUUUCCCAUUAUACAGUAUUUUAUUUGUUAAGUUGAUUGUAAUUAUAAAAUGCAGGUGAUGUGAGUUGAAUCAUCAGUAGCAUUAACUGCAGUGAGAAGCUAAUUUUGCCAAAAUUUUGAAUAAGGAGUCUACACUAUUACAUAUAUAAUGUAAGAAUUGACUUUCUGUAAGACAAAAACUAUUUUAAUAUUACAACAGUCGAUACACUAGUUGGAUGCUCGCUAUGAUACCAUUUCUGUGACGGGUACCUGUACGGUCUGAUUGAAACCUAUAUCCUUGACAUAUUUUAUAAAAAAUCUUAAACAAGAACAUGUUUGGGCAAAAAAGCUGCAGUAGUGGAUUUUGUGACAUCUGCAAAAUUAAUCUUUCAGGUGUGUAACAAGGACCAUCCUGAACAUAGGUCUCAAACAUAAUGAUUGUCAGUGCGCUGAAAAUAUCAAUUUAGCAAUUGUCUGGAGAACAGUUGGGAAGACCAGCUUUCUUUUCUUGUUCUAUUUAAGUCAUGUAUGGAACGAAACCGCAUUGGUACUUUAAGGUUUUAAGUUGAAAAGCUUUUUUGACAAUAGAAAAAUUUAGCAGUCUGUUGGUAUAUUUUAACUUAAGUCAGUUAAAGGGUUCAUGUAAUCACUGCUAAUAAUUGUAGUUCCACUGCAACCACAAAACGGUAAAAUACACAGUGACGGUUUCAUUGAAUAAACUGUAUACCAGGAACAUUUCGCUGCAGAUCAAUUUUCUCCUUUUCCGCCCUCUGUAACUAGGGAAAAUUCAUUAUUACAAUGAAUAUAGAAAGACAACAUAUUCUAAUUCAUCUGAGAUAUAACAUGAGAUUUGAUUGGUCAAUCCAAAUAAUUUGCAACAUUAUGACCAUGCUCUGCUCUGCGUCACCAGUAAAACUCAAUUUGCGACAUUAUAUACUAUAAUCACGUUAUACUGCUGCAAAUUUCAAAAUGCAGUAGGUUAUCCCCUAAAUAUACAUAGUAAUUUAAUGUGAAUGACGAAAUUUACGUUGGGAGAAAUUAAAUUGAUGGGAAAAGGGCAAAAGUUUCACUAGGCAAAAUAUUCCUGGUAUGCAGUAGCAUACAUUUAAAUGGCGCACUCGAUUGAUCUAUAUCAUUGUAACUGGUCAAACAAUUAGUAAAUUGUGACCAAUAAAGAAAUAUACCAAGUACAACUAAUCCAGUUAUGAAUUAAGAAACAGAUGGAUAAAGAGUUCACAUUUGAUCAGAGUUUAAAAGUUUGAUAAAUACAGUGUGAGUGAUAGUGCUAAAGUUAAUGAAAAGAACAAUUCUCUACACCUUUUCUAGGACUUGUUCGGAGUCAUUGUUGAGCUAUUAUCAACCAUAGCAACAUAUAAGUAUCAAAAUUAGUGUUAAAAAAGCAUAAUCAAUGUUGUCCUUUCCAACUUAAGGUUUGUUUGGUAUUUUAUGGUUAUGUUGUAAUGAUGUACUGUAUAAUGACUAAUGUUUGUGUGACAGAAAAUUUGCUGUUUUUCAAGUAAUAGUCGAAAUAAUUGGUGGGCUAUGCAUAAUUUUAACUGAAACUUAUAACUUAAAAAAUAGACAUUUCUACUGCUGUUUUUUCUUAAAAACUUUGCAGCAUUGAUGUAGAUUCUGGAGAAAAAUUCCAAGAAAUGAUUUUUUUAUGAGUCAAUGUAACAAGUUCGCUUUGUGUACAGUAUGUUACUAUAAAUGUUUGUACGGUUGAUCGGAUGUACAUAGUGAGAACAUAUGUAAUAUUCAAACUUAUUUAUGAAAUGUGGCUUUCUGCCCAGUGUCUAUGCUAUUUAUAGUGUGUACAUUCUUAAAGAAUACUUGAUCUUUAAUCUUUAAACGUUUUAAAUUUGGAUUCUUCUGAAUUUUUAUAUCAAAACAAUAGUAGCUUAUUUUAUUCCUGUAACUAAUGUAAAUUGAUAUUUAUUUUGUAUAGUUGUAAAUACCUGCUGGCAGCAGACCGUUUUACCCCUGAUAUUGUACAUUUUAGCUACAAAGCUUGGCUCCUCGUCCUCUUUAGCUGUGGCUGUUUUGGUUUACGUCCAUGAUCCGUCUCUGAUGAAUCGUAUAAAAUAAUUCAGGGAUUUCAAUUUUGAAUUGAACUAUUGUGUUUCAUAAACACUACAUUUUCCUGAUCACUGUUAUUCAAUGGAGUGCAUUCAAGCAUGGCUUGCAACUCUUUGACUGUGUUUGUUGUUUAAUGGAAUUGAUUUAAUACAGAUUCAUGAUUUAUUAAUUAGUGUCUGCGAUUCAUUAGAUUGAGAAAAAGUCCCAAUCUUGUACAUUUUGUCAAAGUUUUUUUCCCCUUCACCCGAAUAGACAGUACACCUAUUACAUUAACUUAAAUGUGCAUUUUAUGAUAAAAUUGUUAUUCAGCAAAGGACAAUUUCUCACAUGUAAUUUCAUUAUUAUCAUCCAUUCAUUCAAAUUUUUAAAUUGUUUCUGUUACAACCAUGAUAAUUAGAUGUCAGUAAGAAGUGAGAGAGCCUACUGUGGCAUCCUGUUUUAUUUAAGUGUGUCUAAGUGUGUAUGAAUGUUGAUGUUCCCCAUACAUCCUUCUUCAGUCUUUACUCUCCUUCAGGUUGAAAUAGGAGGGGGACUGGGAACUUGAUCUAGGGAUGAUUUAUGGAGGUUCUGGUUGAAAUUUGGUCGAAGUGAUGUAUGAAAGCCAUGGCAUAAUGCAAAGCCAGAGAAAUACGUGGAUAUUGUCUGUAAGGCGUGAUCAAGUGUAGAUGGAGUGCAUCACAAAUUUCAUUCAAAUAAAUGAAAUCAAAUAA
This 4480-nucleotide long non-coding RNA is filed under the name Mizuhopecten yessoensis (Yesso scallop). Its description in RNAcentral is "uncharacterized LOC110457772". Lineage: Eukaryota; Metazoa; Mollusca; Bivalvia; Pectinida; Pectinidae. The record is from RNAcentral.